Long non-coding RNA from Hibiscus syriacus, 531 nucleotides. RefSeq lists it as uncharacterized. Lineage: Eukaryota; Viridiplantae; Streptophyta; Magnoliopsida; Malvales; Malvaceae. The record is from RefSeq and is a predicted model, not a curated record. The transcript has 3 exons.
AUGAGUCUUUCGUUGCACAAUUUGUCUUGUUUUUUUAUUAUGUCUUUAUCUUCAAAAUGAAGCCUAUAAGGAACCCAAGUUCCAUAUUUUCAUUCCUUAAUGCAUCAGUUAAAAAGGUUCCCACAGGAUCCUCUCCCCACAUCCUCUCUUCAUUUAUUUAUCUCCCUUUUCUUCUUUUCAGUGUUCAUGUGUGAUAGAUCAGUAUCCACUUUAAAGUGAAAAGCUUUGUAGUUUCAUUUAAUGAUGGCUGUUGACCUACACAACUGUGAGUUAUUGCUUUCCUCGAAGCUUUACACUCCUCGAGAAGAUCACUUUAGAUCCGAGUUGAGUUCACCUAUUGGGUCUGAUCAGCUGAGUUCGAGCUCCACAGAGAGCAGCCAGGAGGAAGAAGAAGAAGACUAUUACAUUGGUGAGUUGACUCGACAGAUGGCUCAGUACAUGCUUCCUGACGAAGAUAACGUUGGAAAGGCAUGGGAUUUGUCUGGUUCACCAGAAUCAACUUUGUGGUCACAGUUUGGCUCGAACCUUAAU